This 769-nucleotide ribosomal RNA is filed under the name uncultured bacterium. Its description in RNAcentral is "bacterial SSU rRNA". It matches the Rfam family "Bacterial small subunit ribosomal RNA", at positions 102 to 857 of the family's 1533-position model. The record is from RNAcentral.
ACGGGUGAGUAACACGUGGGUAACCUGCCCAUCAGAAGGGGAUAACACUUGGAAACAGGUGCUAAUACCGUAUAACACUAUUUUCCGCAUGGAAGAAAGUUGAAAGGCGCUUUUGCGUCACUGAUGGAUGGACCCGCGGUGCAUUAGCUAGUUGGUGAGGUAACGGCUCACCAAGGCCACGAUGCAUAGCCGACCUGAGAGGGUGAUCGGCCACACUGGGACUGAGACACGGCCCAGACUCCUACGGGAGGCAGCAGUAGGGAAUCUUCGGCAAUGGACGAAAGUCUGACCGAGCAACGCCGCGUGAGUGAAGAAGGUUUUCGGAUCGUAAAACUCUGUUGUUAGAGAAGAACAAGGAUGAGAGUAAAACGUUCAUCCCUUGACGGUAUCUAACCAGAAAGCCACGGCUAACUACGUGCCAGCAGCCGCGGUAAUACGUAGGUGGCAAGCGUUGUCCGGAUUUAUUGGGCGUAAAGCGAGCGCAGGCGGUUUCUUAAGUCUGAUGUGAAAGCCCCCGGCUCAACCGGGGAGGGUCAUUGGAAACUGGGAGACUUGAGUGCAGAAGAGGAGAGUGGAAUUCCAUGUGUAGCGGUGAAAUGCGUAGAUAUAUGGAGGAACACCAGUGGCGAAGGCGGCUCUCUGGUCUGUAACUGACGCUGAGGCUCGAAAGCGUGGGGAGCGAACAGGAUUAGAUACCCUGGUAGUCCACGCCGUAAACGAUGAGUGCUAAGUGUUGGAGGGUUUCCGCCCUUCAGUGCUGCAGCAAACG